Long non-coding RNA from Parus major (Great Tit), 211 nucleotides. RefSeq lists it as uncharacterized. Lineage: Eukaryota; Metazoa; Chordata; Aves; Passeriformes; Paridae. The transcript is spliced from 3 exons. The record is from RefSeq and is a predicted model, not a curated record.
UGAUCCUGUAGUGGAUGGAGUCCACCGAGAAUCCUUCUAAUUUUGUGAGCUACUGGUCAGGCUAUGGUUGAAUUCAGUCUGUUUGCAGGAGCAUAGCCAGCACUCUGAGAUAUCCUGGAAGAAAGGACUGCUCUGCAGAAGCUCACUGAAAGACUUCCUGAUAGGAAAAAAUCACUGCUGGAGAGAUGGAAAGGAGCCCACACAGUGGAAG